UGCCAAGAACCCACCCUAUUGGCGAAUCACUUCAACUUGUUUCCUGCAACUCUCUCUCUCUCUCUCUCUCUCUAGGGUUUCAAAAGUCGGCUACACACACCAAGCGACUCUUUCCACUUGAAAGAGAGAGAUUCUUCGAGUAAGUCUCUCUUCAACAAUUGCGACUGUAUUUAAUUAAACCCUUUUAUAUAUGUAUAUUUUUAUUACAAUUUACCUCAUUUUCUUGUUGUCCAUGUAGUUGAAUCAGUAAGCCCUACUACAGCUCAGCUAGGGUUCUUACUGGGUCAUAUUCGUGUUUGAAUUUUCCUCUUCCUUGUCCAUCUAGAUAGAAAGAUGAAGUUUUUAGAGAGAGAUAGAUGGUCAAAGGGUUUUAGGUGAGAAAAGUGCCAUGGAAGACUAAAAAUUUCAAAAUCAGCUACUUAUUUGAAAACACAAUUUUGCUUGUUUCUAUGAGCUUUCCAGGAAUAAUCCUUUAAUGUGUACCAAUCAAAUUUUGUAGAGUUGGGUUGUAUUUCCUUUUUGAGUAUGUUAGGAGAAGAUAAAGACCCUGUUGCCGGUGGUGCUGGUACCCGGAAAACUUAUUUCAGGUCGGUUUCAUGGGCCGGCCGGUCUCCGUCUAAGCCUUACCAAAACCUUAACCCAAACCCGAGACCACAACCAAAUAAUAAAGUGCGGUCGUGCUUGCCACCACUUCAGCCUCUUUCUAUCACCCGGCGGAAUGUCGAGGAGUGGCCCAAGGCGGGUUCUGAUGAUCUUGGCAUAUGGCCUAAUCCACCCCAAACACCAAGAGGGGGGGAAGUUAAACCCCUUGAGAAUUCUAAUUCAGAACAACCUGUGAGAGAAUUCCAGUUUAAGAGGGAUAAGCUCGCAUUUUUCGAUAAGGAAUGCUCAAGAAUUGCUGAUCAUAUAUACUUAGGAAGCGAUGCUGUGGCAAAGAACCGUGAAAUUUUGAGGCAGAAUGGAAUCACCCAUGUGCUGAACUGUGUUGGGUUUGUUUCUCCCGAGUAUUUCAAGAGUGAUCUUGUGUACAAGACACUUUGGUUGCAAGACAGCCCAUCGGAGGAUAUUACUAGUAUCCUCUAUGACGUGUUUGAUUACUUUGAAGAUGUUCGAGAGCAAGGUGGGCGGGUUCUUGUGCAUUGUUGCCAGGGAGUGUCACGAUCGACAUCUCUGGUUAUUGCAUACCUCAUGUGGAGGGAGGGGCAGGACUUCGAUGAGGCCUUUCAAUAUGUGAAGGCAGCACGAGGAGUGACUAACCCAAAUAUGGGUUUUGCUUGCCAACUUCUGCAGUGCCAGAAGCGAGUACAUGCUGUGCCUGCAAGCCCAAGUUCUGUGAUUAGGAUGUAUCGGAUGGCCCCUCACUCAUCAUACGAUCCUCUUCAUCUUGUACCAAAAAUGUUAAGCCAUCCGAGUGCACAAGCACUUGACUCUCGUGGAGCAUUUGUUGUGCAUGUUCCUUCUGCUAUAUAUGUGUGGACUGGGAAAAACUGCAACUCCGCUUUGUCAAAGAAUGCAAAGGCUGCUGCCCUUCAGGUAAUUCGAUAUGAAAGGGCUCUGGGACCGAUUGUGAGUAUCAAGGAAGGUGAAGAGCCAUCAGAAUUUUGGGAUGCCCUUGCCAGUGGGCCACUCUCAGCGGAUGGUUGUGAGAAAAUGGAGGUCAAAAAGGAAGAUAACUUGUCUUACCAAAAGGAUCCAGAUGCUGCAGAAAAUCGAGUUGAGGUUAGUGAAAGGAAGGUUGAUGAUUAUGAUUUGGAUUUUGAAAUUUUUCACAAGGCACUUGCCGGUGGGGUUGUUCCACCUUUUUCGGUAUCAAAUACUGGAUCGGAAACUUGUCUUCCUGCCAGAGAAAAUGGGUGGGGGAGACUACGACGGAAGCUUGCUAAUGGUAUUAUGAAAGAAUUGGUCACCUUCUCCAAACUGAACAAUGACAGUACUCUAUCCAAUGAUGAAUCAAAUAUGAUUAUAGAUACACAGAAAGAAGCAGAGGACCCCGUUUGUCUGAUUGAACUUUCAUCGCCACAGUCACCAUCCACCCAUCCAUGCGGUUCACCGGAUUCCUUUGAUUGUUUCCCAAAUAGCAGCCCAGAUAGGAUGAGGGAGACUUCUAAAGAAGUGGAACACUCUGUUACUCUUACUUAUCCCUCCAUGUUACCAACACCUUGUGGUUCGCCAGAUUCAUUUUCUUGUUCUGUGACUCUUACUGAUCCUUUCUUUUCACCCACACCUACCGGUGGUUCGCCAGAUUCUUUUUCUUGUUUUCCAUGCAGCAGCCCAAAGUUCAGCUCCAAGUCCCCAACACUCUCACCUUCAACAUCUGAGUACUCCAGUUCAUUUACCUUUUCACCAUCAUCUUCUAAUUGGUCUGACUUGUCAUACUUGUCUUCACAGCAGCCUUCGCCUUCUGGCUGGGAAUCUACAGAACUAUUUGCUCAUAAGAAUACUUCUUUGGCAGACAAUUCCUGUUUACUUCACAAAGAGACUGCUCUGCCUGCAGAGCAGUUUUCUGGUAAUCGUUCAUUGAAAGUGGCAAAUGCUUCUUUUCCAUGCAAGGGAACUUCCCCCUCUAUUGCGGAGCGCAGAGGGAGUAAUCCCCCACCUCGAAUGUUCUUACCCUCAGUUGAUGAGUCGUCUCAAGUCCCGAAGAAUCUGGUAAGAUCAUGGUCUUUCUCGCUACCUGACUUAGAGGAUGAUGUGAUGAAGGAUGUUGAUUGCAACCAAUUCGAGCAUGAAGACAAUAGAGAAGAGCUUAUAUUUGAUACUGGAUUUGAAUCACGUAGUAAGAUUGAAGAUAAGAAAGAGGAUGAUAAUGAAUUUCAUCCUCUGUCAGGUGAUUUGGUUGACUGGGUCGCAGGAUUGAAGACCCCAGUUUUGUUCCAGUGGCCUUCUAUGAAUAAAGUGGAGAUGCAUCCCUUUUGUAUUCUUGAUUCUAGAUCGGUAUACAUUUUGUUGGCUCCAGAUAUGAAUUUGGGCACCAAUAAAAGUGGAAUCUUAUUUGUCUGGUUGGGGAGUGAAUUCUCGGAUGAGAAAUGGCAUAGUCAAGUGAUCGGCACUGAUGGCAAAUGUGCUAAUAGCCAUCCUCACUGGGAAGCAGUUGGCCGCAACUUGCUUAAUCGAAUGGAUUUACCAAUCGAUGCCCCUGUACAGAUAAUAAGAGAAGGUGAAGAGCCAGAGCAGUUUCUAAAACAUCUCAGCUGCUUAUCAUUUCAUAAGACAGAGGACAGCAGUCACAGUUGAGAAUGGUUUGUGGAGACGCAACAUUAGUAGGUUUAGCCCUUGUACGGAAUGUCAGAAAGGAUUUGUUGCCGAAUUCAAAAGGGGUAAGGUGAUCAGUCCUGAGCUUUUUGUAUGGCCCAUAAUCUGCAAUUUUGAUGCCUGAUUAUAAGGAUAAGACAAUUGGUAAAUUAUUUUGAAAAAGCAGGUUUGACAUGUGCUGUUUCCUUCAUUAUCUGCAAUUUUGAUGCCUGAUUAUAAAGAUAAGACAAUUGGUAAAUUAUUUUGAAAAAGCAGGUUUGACAUGUGCUGGUUCAAUCCUUCAUCAUCUUUACUCUUCAGAUUUUGCUCAAAUGGCAAAGGGGUGUUGUGAGGAUCAUGGAGGUCUUAGACCUUCUUUCUCUCCAAGCGAAGGAUUCUUGCUUUUGCUAAGGAAAUACGUGGUCAAGUUAGCAGGCCUAGUUCCAGUAUCAAGCAUAAAGCUGGCAAAGUACGACAACUUAUUGCUAGACCAAAUUCUUACUCCCCCCCGUACGGCAUCGUUUUUUAAGAAACAAUAACUUAAACGAGGUGUUUGUUUUUUACUUUUUUAAUCUGCAACGGAGAUUAAAAGGGUUAAGCUUUUAGGGCAACUUUCUCGGCAAUAUAACUUGCAGCAUUCUAUCUGGGUCUUGGCCUUCUCUUUUAUUUU
RNA transcript from Corylus avellana, 3901 nucleotides. It is a transcript of the gene named protein-tyrosine-phosphatase MKP1, with no coding region annotated. The record is from RefSeq and is a predicted model, not a curated record. NCBI's taxonomy places the organism in Eukaryota, Viridiplantae, Streptophyta, Magnoliopsida, Fagales, Betulaceae.